Molecule: non-coding RNA, 47 nt
Filed under: Parabacteroides massiliensis
Lineage: Bacteria; Pseudomonadati; Bacteroidota; Bacteroidia; Bacteroidales; Tannerellaceae
Source: RNAcentral
GUUGUGAUUUGCUUUCAUUUUUGUAUCUUUGAACUAUUAGAAACAAC